AAAUUGAAGAGUUUGAUCAUGGCUCAGAUUGAACGCUGGCGGCAGGCCUAACACAUGCAAGUCGAACGGUAGCACAGAGAGCUUGCUCUCGGGUGACGAGUGGCGGACGGGUGAGUAAUGUCUGGGAAACUGCCUGAUGGAGGGGGAUAACUACUGGAAACGGUAGCUAAUACCGCAUAACGUCGCAAGACCAAAGAGGGGGACCUUCGGGCCUCUUGCCAUCAGAUGUGCCCAGAUGGGAUUAGCUAGUAGGUGGGGUAACGGCUCACCUAGGCGACGAUCCCUAGCUGGUCUGAGAGGAUGACCAGCCACACUGGAACUGAGACACGGUCCAGACUCCUACGGGAGGCAGCAGUGGGGAAUAUUGCACAAUGGGCGCAAGCCUGAUGCAGCCAUGCCGCGUGUAUGAAGAAGGCCUUCGGGUUGUAAAGUACUUUCAGCGGGGAGGAAGGUGUUGUGGUUAAUAACCGCAGCAAUUGACGUUACCCGCAGAAGAAGCACCGGCUAACUCCGUGCCAGCAGCCGCGGUAAUACGGAGGGUGCAAGCGUUAAUCGGAAUUACUGGGCGUAAAGCGCACGCAGGCGGUCUGUCAAGUCGGAUGUGAAAUCCCCGGGCUCAACCUGGGAACUGCAUUCGAAACUGGCAGGCUAGAGUCUUGUAGAGGGGGGUAGAAUUCCAGGUGUAGCGGUGAAAUGCGUAGAGAUCUGGAGGAAUACCGGUGGCGAAGGCGGCCCCCUGGACAAAGACUGACGCUCAGGUGCGAAAGCGUGGGGAGCAAACAGGAUUAGAUACCCUGGUAGUCCACGCCGUAAACGAUGUCGAUUUGGAGGUUGUGCCCUUGAGGCGUGGCUUCCGGAGCUAACGCGUUAAAUCGACCGCCUGGGGAGUACGGCCGCAAGGUUAAAACUCAAAUGAAUUGACGGGGGCCCGCACAAGCGGUGGAGCAUGUGGUUUAAUUCGAUGCAACGCGAAGAACCUUACCUGGUCUUGACAUCCACAGAACUUAGCAGAGAUGCUUUGGUGCCUUCGGGAACUGUGAGACAGGUGCUGCAUGGCUGUCGUCAGCUCGUGUUGUGAAAUGUUGGGUUAAGUCCCGCAACGAGCGCAACCCUUAUCCUUUGUUGCCAGCGGUUAGGCCGGGAACUCAAAGGAGACUGCCAGUGAUAAACUGGAGGAAGGUGGGGAUGACGUCAAGUCAUCAUGGCCCUUACGACCAGGGCUACACACGUGCUACAAUGGCGCAUACAAAGAGAAGCGACCUCGCGAGAGCAAGCGGACCUCAUAAAGUGCGUCGUAGUCCGGAUUGGAGUCUGCAACUCGACUCCAUGAAGUCGGAAUCGCUAGUAAUCGUAGAUCAGAAUGCUACGGUGAAUACGUUCCCGGGCCUUGUACACACCGCCCGUCACACCAUGGGAGUGGGUUGCAAAAGAAGUAGGUAGCUUAACCUUCGGGAGGGCGCUUACCACUUUGUGAUUCAUGACUGGGGUGAAGUCGUAACAAGGUAACCGUAGGGGAACCUGCGGUUGGAUCACCUCCUUA
This 1540-nucleotide ribosomal RNA is filed under the name Enterobacter cloacae. Its description in RNAcentral is "bacterial SSU rRNA". It matches the Rfam family "Bacterial small subunit ribosomal RNA". The record is from RNAcentral. RNAcentral also lists the same sequence under 4 other names. Lineage: Bacteria; Pseudomonadati; Pseudomonadota; Gammaproteobacteria; Enterobacterales; Enterobacteriaceae.